UGAGGAAUUUUGCGCAAUGGGAGCAAUCCUGACGCAGCAACGACGCGUGAGUGAUGAAGGCUUUCGGGUCGUAAAGCUCUGUCAAGAGGGAAGAAGUGUAUUAUGGUUAAUACCCAUUUUACUUGACGGUACCUUUGAAGGAAGCACCGGCUAACUCCGUGCCAGCAGCCGCGGUAAUACGGGGGGUGCAAGCGUUGUUCGGAAUUAUUGGGCGUAAAGCGCGUGUAGGCGGUUUUGUAAGUCUGAUGUGAAAGCCCCGGGCUCAACCUGGGAAGUGCAUUGGAAACUGCAGGACUUGAGUACGGGAGAGGGUAGUGGAAUUCCCAGUGUAGGAGUGAAAUCCGUAGAUAUUGGGAGGAACACCGGUGGCGAAGGCGGCUGCCUGGACCGAUACUGACGCUGAGACGCGAAAGCGUGGGUAGCAAACA
This 428-nucleotide ribosomal RNA is filed under the name uncultured prokaryote. Its description in RNAcentral is "bacterial SSU rRNA". It matches the Rfam family "Bacterial small subunit ribosomal RNA", at positions 355 to 774 of the family's 1533-position model. The record is from RNAcentral.